This 83-nucleotide transfer RNA is filed under the name Vibrio harveyi. RNAcentral describes it as "tRNA-Trp". It matches the Rfam family "tRNA". From Rfam's summary of the family: Transfer RNA (tRNA) molecules are approximately 80 nucleotides in length. Their secondary structure includes four short double-helical elements and three loops (D, anti-codon, and T loops). Further hydrogen bonds mediate the characteristic L-shaped molecular structure. tRNAs have two regions of fundamental functional importance: the anti-codon, which is responsible for specific mRNA codon recognition, and the 3' end, to which the tRNAs corresponding amino acid is attached (by aminoacyl-tRNA synthetases). tRNAs cope with the degeneracy of the genetic code in two manners: having more than one tRNA (with a specific anti-codon) for a particular amino acid; and 'wobble' base-pairing, i.e. permitting non-standard base-pairing at the 3rd anti-codon position. Lineage: Bacteria; Pseudomonadati; Pseudomonadota; Gammaproteobacteria; Vibrionales; Vibrionaceae. The record is from RNAcentral.
AGGGGUGUAGUAGUCUCUCCAAUUGGCAGAGCAGCGGAUUCCAAAUCCGCGUGUUGGGAGUUCGAAUCUCUCCACCCCUGCCA